UACGUAGGGUGCAAGCGUUAAUCGGAAUUACUGGGCGUAAAGCGUGCGCAGGCGGUUAUGUAAGACAGUUGUGAAAUCCCCGGGCUCAACCUGGGAACUGCAUCUGUGACUGCAUAGCUAGAGUACGGUAGAGGGGGAUGGAAUUCCGCGUGUAGCAGUGAAAUGCGUAGAGAUGUGGAGGAAUACCGAUGGCGAAGGCAGCCCCCUGGGAUAACACUGACGCUCAUGGCACGAAAGCGUGGGGAGCAAACAGG
This 254-nucleotide ribosomal RNA is filed under the name uncultured bacterium. Its description in RNAcentral is "partial 16S ribosomal RNA". It matches the Rfam family "Bacterial small subunit ribosomal RNA", at positions 524 to 776 of the family's 1533-position model. The record is from RNAcentral.